CCCAAUCUUAAUGGUAUAAGAAGUCGAAGCUUUUUGACUUUAUCUCCUUUUUAAACUUGAACCACACUAAGUUUUGCUGUUAAUCUUCAUAGGGUCAAUUCAGAGAAAAUAUUGUACCAGGAUCAGCAAGACCCGCUGAUGGCUUGGAGAAAGCAAAAACAAAGAAGAAAAAGAAGACAGUCAAUUCUUUACAAGAAGGACCUGAAAUACCUUUGACAAACCAAAUGCCUGGGUAUUUACCACAGUACAAUCCAACCCAAAUGGUUCAACUGGGAGCUCCGCCAAGUCAUGCUUACCCCUAUUUAGCACAUUACAA
Triticum aestivum (bread wheat) is the source of this 316-nucleotide long non-coding RNA. RefSeq lists it as uncharacterized. The transcript is spliced from 2 exons. The record is from RefSeq and is a predicted model, not a curated record. Lineage: Eukaryota; Viridiplantae; Streptophyta; Magnoliopsida; Poales; Poaceae.